This 83-nucleotide small RNA is filed under the name Citrobacter werkmanii. RNAcentral describes it as "Enterobacterial sRNA STnc230". It matches the Rfam family "Enterobacterial sRNA STnc230". The record is from RNAcentral. Lineage: Bacteria; Pseudomonadati; Pseudomonadota; Gammaproteobacteria; Enterobacterales; Enterobacteriaceae.
CAUCUCGCUUUCCUGGGCGCUGAUGAAAGUCAGCAUCGAACAUAACAAAAGUCUCCCAUUGUGGGGAGACUUUUUCAGCGGUU